CAAGUUGUCCUCUAUCUUUUCACCACAAGAAUGUAUUGAUGGUCCUGUCAGAUUCCACAAACCCUCAUAUCAUUCUUUGAAAUACAAUUUGCUUACUCCUGUUUCUGGGCCCCAGAUUUGAAUCUGAUUUCCUGGUUCAUUUCCAGCCAGAGAGAAUAGACCCCAGCGCGUCCAGGCAAGGCUACGACGUCCGUUCAGACGUUUGGAGUUUGGGAAUCACACUGUAUGAGCUGGCCACGGGACGGUUUCCCUACCCGAAGUGGAACAGUGUGUUUGACCAGUUGACCCAGGUGGUGAGAGGAGACCCUCCACAGCUCAGCAACUCGGAGGAGAGGCGCUUCUCCCCCAAAUUCAUCGCCUUUGUCAACUUGUGCCUUACGAAGGAUGAGUCGAAGAGGCCAAAGUACAAAGAGCUACUGAAAGAUCCGUUCAUUCAGAUGUACGAGGAGCGUUCGGCCGACGUAGCCGGUUACGUCUGCAGGAUCCUCGAUCAGAUGCCGGCGUCUCCUAGCUCCCCAAUGUAUAUGGACUGAAAGCUGAACAAAAACAAAAACACAUCAAAGUAUACACCAGUCUGCAACAAUAAAGACAGUGGAUGAAAAAAAAAAAAAAAGACAACAAAGUAAAGAAAACAAAUCCUCAUGUAAAUUUGCUUGGUCCCCUUAUUGCAGUGUUAAAAGAAAAUUGUAAAGCCUAAGUAAAAAAAACAAAAAAACAACAAAACACCAUUUGCAAUAAAAAUGGUGUUCAUUUCAGUCAUGUCUGUAUAAUAUAUAAACGUUAACACACUUCUGUUUCUCUCUUGUUCACAAACACACACUGACGCACAGUCACGUAAGUAUAAUAGCAGCUGAAUCAGUCAAUUGUGGUCUUGACUCCUCUCGAUGAGGAUGCAUCUCAGUGAUUAGUAGUGAUUUAAAAAAAUAAGAAAAUGGAAAAAAAAGAAAAGCAAAAUAACCUGGAACUUGUAUUUAUAGAAACCAAAAUCAAGUGGAGUAUCUGAUUUGGAGAUUCUUCAACAUACUGGAA
This is a long non-coding RNA of Lates calcarifer (barramundi perch), 1029 nucleotides long. RefSeq lists it as uncharacterized. The record is from RefSeq and is a predicted model, not a curated record. The transcript has 4 exons. Lineage: Eukaryota; Metazoa; Chordata; Actinopteri; Centropomidae.